RNAcentral lists this transfer-messenger RNA (364 nucleotides) under bacterium. RNAcentral describes it as "PR03 sp003576805 Standard tmRNA". It matches the Rfam family "transfer-messenger RNA". Rfam says of the family: Bacterial tmRNA, also known as 10Sa RNA or SsrA, is named for its dual tRNA and mRNA-like properties. Its role is to liberate the mRNA from a stalled ribosome. RNAcentral also lists the same sequence under 1 other name. The record is from RNAcentral.
GGGGGCGAUCGGCUUCGACGGGUGGUCGAAGGCGAGCGCUGCGUGCCGACGUCGUCACACCGUCGCUAAACAGGUGGCACCGUUGGUAGCCAAAAACUGCCGACUCUGAUUACGCACUCGCGGCCUAGCUAAAAACUAGGUAGCGACGUCCGUCCCCGACGCCUUCUAGGGGGUUGCGGGCGUCAUCAGAAGGCUGGCUCCCGGAGCGCUGCUCGACCGUAGCCGGGAGUGAGAACCACGUGGAGCUGGGUGCGGUGCUCUCGUCUUCGUGACCAACCGCGCCGAGAUCGAACGAAGGCUACGCACGUAGACGCGCUGGCUGGACGUCAUUCGGACGCGGGUUCGAUUCCCGCCGCCUCCACCA